GAUGAACGCUGGCGGCGUGCCUAAUACAUGCGAGUCGAGCGAACUUUUGGGAGCUUGCUCCCAAAAGUUAGCGGCGGCCGGGUGAGUAACACGUGGGUAACCUGCCUGUAAGACUGGGAUAACUUCGGGAAACCGGAGCUAAUACCGGAUAACAUUGAAGACCACAUGGCCUUAAAUUAAAAGGUGGCUUUUAGCUACCACUUACAGAUGGACCCGCGGCGCAUUAGCUAGUUGGUGAGGUAACGCCUCACCAAGGCGACGAUGCGUAGCCGACCUGAGAGGGUGAUCGGCCACACUGGGACUGAGACACGGCCCAGACUCCUACGGGAGGCAGCAGUAGGGAAUCUUCCGCAAUGGACGAAAGUCUGACGGAGCAACGCCGCGUGAGCGAAGAAGGCCUUCGGGUCGUAAAGCUCUGUUGUUAGGGAAGAACAAGUAUCGUUCGAAUAGGGCGGUACCUUGACGGUACCUAACCAGAAAGCUACGGCUAACUACGUG
This 498-nucleotide ribosomal RNA is filed under the name uncultured bacterium. Its description in RNAcentral is "partial 16S ribosomal RNA". It matches the Rfam family "Bacterial small subunit ribosomal RNA", at positions 28 to 507 of the family's 1533-position model. The record is from RNAcentral.